CAUCGGCGUAGGGUGAGUCGGCCCCUAAGGCGAGGCAGAGAUGCGUAGCUGAUGGGAAACAGGUCAAUAUUCCUGUACCGAUCAAUAGUGCGAUGUGGGGACGGAGAAGGUUAGCUCAGCCAACUGUUGGAUAUGUUGGUUCAAGCCUGUAGUCGUGCCUGGUAGGCAAAUCCGCCGGGCUUAGAUGAGGGGUGAUAACGAGUCGUCUUGCAGACGAAGUGAGUGAUACCCUGCUUCCAGGAAAAGCCACUAAGCUUCAGCUAUUGACGACCGUACCGCAAACCGACACUGG
This 292-nucleotide ribosomal RNA is filed under the name Nephroselmis pyriformis. RNAcentral's name for it is "partial Bacterial large subunit ribosomal RNA". It matches the Rfam family "Bacterial large subunit ribosomal RNA", at positions 1367 to 1663 of the family's 2925-position model. The record is from RNAcentral. Lineage: Eukaryota; Viridiplantae; Chlorophyta; Nephroselmidophyceae; Nephroselmidales; Nephroselmidaceae.